Molecule: ribosomal RNA, 129 nt
Filed under: Chinchilla lanigera (long-tailed chinchilla)
Lineage: Eukaryota; Metazoa; Chordata; Mammalia; Rodentia; Chinchillidae
Source: RNAcentral
AUCUACCACCAUACCACGCUGAACGCACCUGAUUUCAUCCACUUCAGAAGCUAAGCAGGGUCAGGCCUGGUUAGUCCUUGGGUAGGAUACCUGUGGUGGGGAGCUCUAGCGCUGACUUAGUGGUUGAUA